CAGCAGCCGCGGUAAUACGUAGGGUGCGAGCGUUAAUCGGAUUUACUGGGCGUAAAGCGUGCGCAGGCGGCCCGUUAAGACAGGUGUGAAAUCCCUGGGCUCAACCUAGGAAUUGCGCUUGUGACUGGCGGGCUCGAGUACGGUAGAGGGGGGUGGAAUUCCUGGUGUAGCAGUGAAAUGCGUAGAGAUCAGGAGGAACACCGAUGGCGAAGGCAGCCCCCUGGGCCUAUACUGACGCUCAUGCACGAAAGCGUGGGGAGCAAACAGGAUUAGAUACCCUGGUAGUCCACGCCCUAAACGAUGGGUACUAGCCGUUUGGUGCGCGAUAGCGCUGAGUGGCGAAGCUAACGCGAGAAGUACCCCGCCUGGGGAGUACGGCCGCAAGGUUGAAACUUAAAGGAAUUGGCGGG
RNAcentral lists this ribosomal RNA (410 nucleotides) under uncultured microorganism. RNAcentral's name for it is "bacterial SSU rRNA". It matches the Rfam family "Bacterial small subunit ribosomal RNA", at positions 509 to 917 of the family's 1533-position model. The record is from RNAcentral.